Molecule: ribosomal RNA, 496 nt
Filed under: uncultured bacterium
Lineage: Bacteria
Description: partial 16S ribosomal RNA
Rfam family: Bacterial small subunit ribosomal RNA
Source: RNAcentral
AUGCACGCUGGCGGCGUGCCUCAUACCUGCAAGUCGAGCGAACGGACGAGAAGCUUGCUUUUCUGAUGUUAGCGGCGGACGGGUGAGUAACACGUGGAUAACCUACCUAUAAGACUGGGAUAACUUCGGGAAACCGGAGCUAAUACCGGAUAAUAUUUUGAACCGCAUGGUUCAAAAGUGAAAGACGGUCUUGCUGUCACUUAUAGAUGGAUCCGCGCUGCAUUAGCUAGUUGGUAAGGUAACGGCUUACCAAGGCAACGAUGCAUAGCCGACCUGAGAGGGUGAUCGGCCACACUGGAACUGAGACACGGUCCAGACUCCUACGGGAGGCAGCAGUAGGGAAUCUUCCGCAAUGGGCGAAAGCCUGACGGAGCAACGCCGCGUGAGUGAUGAAGGUCUUCGGAUCGUAAAACUCUGUUAUUAGGGAAGAACAUAUGUGUAAGUAACUGUGCACAUCUUGACGGUACCUAAUCAGAAAGCCACGGCUAACUACGUG